This 1067-nucleotide long non-coding RNA is filed under the name Nicotiana tabacum (common tobacco). RNAcentral's name for it is "long non-coding RNA (NTAB_LNC005551)". The record is from RNAcentral. Lineage: Eukaryota; Viridiplantae; Streptophyta; Magnoliopsida; Solanales; Solanaceae.
UUCAUUCAAUAUAAAAAGAAAAUUCUCAACGUUGGUUUCUUUACAUUUCUACAAUAAAUGGGACCCCAAUAAAUGGGAUCAUCUCAUUCACUGCAAUAGAAUAUUCUACUAUGCUUUUCUCGUUUACUGUGCUCCACAAUUGUUCUUCAACUUUAUUAUUUUUACUUUAUUGUUCAUAUUUUAUUGCUCUUAACUCACCUCGAGGCCCCCGAGAUAAUCGAGCUCGAGGUCCUUAUUGCUCUAACGAUGCUGGUUUGGUUCAUCAAUUCUUCUUACUUAAACCUAAUAUUACUUGUAUAUUCACUAGUAUUGGAAUAAAUCACAUAUCUUUAAAAUCACAAAUCGUAUUUAAUUGUUACUCGUAUUUUUGAGGUAAACAGUUUGGCGUCCACCGUGGGGCUAAAGAUAAUAGUGAUUGUUUCUUUGCUGAUUUUCGUUACACAUGUUAUCUUUACACUUUUUCUUGUCAAGAUUUGUUGAUUUUCAGGCUGAAACAUGUCUAGCACACAAAACGCACCUGUCCAUGGUAACGAAUUCGUCAAGGCCAAGGAUUUUGACAAACUCUAUUUUCAAGAAUUCGUCAAUUAAACCUACAUCUAAUUUCUUUGCAUGCAAACUUGCAGCAGGUAUUUUACCACAAGAGCAAGCAAUGAAAAAGAUGUCAAGGCCAUAUUCGGUGGGAAAAAGAAAUAAUCAUCAGCCAACUUUUCAACAUAAUUCGAAACCUCCACUUUAAAAAUGAAGUCAACAAACAGUGGCCUAAAAUAAAAUGCAGAUUUGGAAAGGUGACGAACAAACUGAAGUAGCUUGAAACAAUCAAUACACUUCUUAUGUCAAGGAAAACACAAUAGUCGAUAAUGGACAAUGCCAUGUUCCAAACGUAGAAAUAUCUGCCUUCGUGUGAAGAAGAUUAAUACUACCUCCUGUCCACAUUAUUUUUAUCAUUUUUGUAACCUAAAUUUAUUUUGAGACAUUUAAGAAAUUAAAAAUUAAUCCUCCAUCCCAAUUUAUUCGAUACAAUUCAAAUUUUGAGAGUCAACUUUUUCAAUAUUGACCGCGAAUUCGGA